Molecule: ribosomal RNA, 353 nt
Filed under: uncultured bacterium
Lineage: Bacteria
Description: partial 16S ribosomal RNA
Rfam family: Bacterial small subunit ribosomal RNA
Source: RNAcentral
CCUACGGGAGGCAGCAGUAGGGAAUAUUGCUCAAUGGGGGAAACCCUGAAGCAGCAACGCCGCGUGGAGGAUGAAGGUUUUCGGAUUGUAAACUCCUUUUGUUAGAGAAGAUAAUGACGGUAUCUAAAGAAUAAGCACCGGCUAACUCCGUGCCAGCAGCCGCGGUAAUACGGAGGGUGCAAGCGGUACUCGGGAGCAAUGGGCGUAAAGAGCGCGUAGGCGGGAUAGCAAGUCAGAUGGGAAAUCCUGGAGCUUAAAUAGAGAACUGCAUUUGAAACUGUUGGGCUGGAGUGUGGGAGAGGUCGGUGGAAAUCUGGGUGUAGGGGUAAAAUCCGUAGAGAUCAAGAGGAAGA